RNAcentral lists this ribosomal RNA (2386 nucleotides) under human gut metagenome. RNAcentral describes it as "bacterial LSU rRNA". It matches the Rfam family "Bacterial large subunit ribosomal RNA", at positions 451 to 2925 of the family's 2925-position model. The record is from RNAcentral.
GACCACCCUCCAACCCUAAAUACUACCCAGUGACCGAUAGCGUAUAGUACUGUGAAGGAAAGGUGAAAAGCACCCCGGGAGGGGAGUGAAAAAGAACCUGAAACCCUGUGCCUACAAGCACCUAGAGCGCGUCAAAGCGUGAUAGGGUACUUUUUGUAGAACGGUCCGGCGAGCGAUUGUAUGCAGCAAGGUUAAGGACUUAAGGUCUGGAGCCGAAGCGAAAGCGAGUUUGAAAAGGGCGUUAAGUUGCAUAUAAUGGGCCCGAAACCGGGUGACCUACCCAUGGUCAGGUUGAAGUGGAAGUAAAAUUCCAUGGAGGACCGAACCGACCUCCGUUGAAAAGGCGGCGGAUGAACUGUGGGUAGCGGAGAAAUUCCAAUCGAACCCGGAGAUAGCUGGUUCUCCCCGAAAUAGUUUUAGGACUAGCCUCAAGUUAGAUACCUGGAGGUAAAGCACUGAAUAGCCUAGCGGCCGAGAGGUUAGCGAAGCUUAUCAAACUCAGAAUGCCAGAGUAUUGAUGCUUGGGAGUCAGACAGUGUCAGAUAAAUGUCAUUGUCAAAAGGGAAACAGCCCAGAUCUACAGCUAAGGUCCCAAAGUCAGGUUAAGUGGAAAACGAUGUGAAGAUACGUAGACAACCAGGAUGUUGGCUCAGAAGCAGCCACUCAUUCAAAGAGUGCGUAAUAGCUCACUGGUCGAGCGUCUUUGCGCGGAGAAUUUAACGGGGCUAAACCUGACACCGAAGCUUAGGCAAUACAGCAAUGUAUUGGGUAGGGGAGCGUUGUAUACGCGGUGAAACAGUAGCGCAAGCGGCUGUGGAGUGUAUAGAAGUGAGAAUGCCGGAAUGAGUAGCGCGAAUGCAGUGAGAAUCUGCAUGGCCGAAAGCCUCAGGUUUCUGGAGGAAGGUUCGUCCGCUCCAGGUUAGUCGGGAGCUAAGGUGAGGCCUAACGGCGUAGCCGAUGCACAGACGGUAGAGAUUCCGUCACCACCAAAAGAGUUAAACACAGGGACACAUAUGAAGUCUCGGAGCCGGGUGUUGGUUCCGGUAGCGAUCGAGGGAAGUUAGUACCGAAGUCCGGGAUGGAAGAUGGCGAGAAAAGCUGUGUGUAUUUCUGCGGUGCCCGUACCGCAAACCGACACAGGUAGGUAGGAAGAAGAUUCUAAGGCCAACGGGAGAAGGGUUGUUAAGGAACUCGGCAAAUUGACCCCGUAACUUCGGGAGAAGGGGUGCUGCAGCAAUGCAGCCGCAGAGAAUCGGCCCAAGCAACUGUUUACCAAAAACACAGGUUUGUGCUAAAUCGAAAGAUGACGUAUACGAGCUGACGCCUGCCCGGUGCUGGAAGGUUAAGAGGAGAUGUGCAAGCAUUGAAUCGAAGCCCCAGUGAACGGCGGCCGUAACUAUAACGGUCCUAAGGUAGCGAAAUUCCUUGUCAGGUAAGUUCUGACCCGCACGAAAGGCGUAAUGAUUUGGGCACUGUCUCAACAGCCCGCCCGGCGAAAUUGUAGUACCGGUGAAGAUGCCGGUUACCCGCGACAAGACGGAAAGACCCCAUGGAGCUUUACUGUAGCCUAAUAUUGGGUUUCGAUGUUGCAUGCACAGGAUAGAUGGGACACUGGGAAGCAGGUGCUUUGGCGCUUGUGGAGUGGCCGUUGGGAUACCAUCCUUGCGAUAUUGGAAUUCUAACCUGCGCCUUUGAAUCAAGGCGGGGGACAUUGUUAGGUGGGCAGUUUGACUGGGGCGGUCGCCUCCUAAAGAGUAACGGAGGCGUUCAAAGGUUCGCUCAGCUUGAACGGAAAUCAAGCAAAAGAGUGCAAACGCAGAAGCGAGCCUAACUGCGAGACUGACGGGUCGAGCAGUAACGAAAGUUGGAGUUAGUGAUCCGGUGGUAUGUGAGUGGAAAUGCCAUCGCUCAACGGAUAAAAGCUACCCUGGGGAUAACAGGCUGAUCUCCCCCAAGAGUCCACAUCGACGGGGAGGUUUGGCACCUCGAUGUCGGCUCAUCGCAUCCUGGGGCUGUAUUCGGUCCCAAGGGUUUGGCUGUUCGCCAAUUAAAGCGGUACGCGAGCUGGGUUCAGAACGUCGUGAGACAGUUCGGUCCCUAUCUGUCGUGGGCGCAGGAUAUUUGAUGGGAGCUGUUCCUAGUACGAGAGGACCGGAGCGGACGUACCUCUGGCGCACCAGUUGUUCUGCCAAGAGCAUAGCUGGGCAACUAUGUACGGAUCGGAUAAACGCUGAAAGCAUCUAAGCGUGAAGCCGACCCAAAGAUAAGAUAUCCCAUUGUUUCAAACAAGUAAGACCCCUUGAAGACUACAAGGUUGAUAGGCACGAUGUGUAAGUGGAGCGAUCCAUUCAGCAAGCGUGUACUAAUAGGUCGAGGGCUUGACCAC